This 389-nucleotide unclassified non-coding RNA is filed under the name fungal sp. RNAcentral describes it as "partial internal transcribed spacer region". The stretch from base 1 to 46 matches the Rfam family "Eukaryotic small subunit ribosomal RNA", at positions 1786 to 1831 of the family's 1831-position model. The record is from RNAcentral. Lineage: Eukaryota; Fungi.
AAGUCGUAACAAGGUUUCCGUAGGUGAACCUGCGGAAGGAUCAUUAACACGUUCCACGUAUCCACCCGCGAACCUGUCUUAUAACGAGACUAAGCUCUGGUAGUACCUGUUAAGCUUUCGCAUAGUCCGCAAACCCCGAUAAGGAAACAGGCUGUAUAAGCCUGGCGGCUGCUGAUUGUAUAUCCUCCUUCUUGGAGGCAGGCUCUGGAUGUCUGGUCAUGUUUCUAUUCCUUAUCGACUUUCUAUACAACUAUUUACCCCAUUCCGAAACGUACUAAUUCAUAUUUCUUUUCUUAAAGAAAUGUUGGGCUAGUGGCUUUGGCCGCGACUCUAACACCAAUAAGAAAAACCUAAAAGAACAACUCUUAACAACGGAUAUCUUGGCUCUC